CCGCUUUGUGAUACUGGAGCUGGACCUGGUCCUGCAGUGCGUGGUGGCCAGCAGGGCCCGAAGGUCAGCAAAGUCCCUCAGCACUCCGUCAGGAGCCUUCGUAGUGGAGUACCCCAGUGAGACACCUCCCAGAAACACUUUUCCGGGGUACCUGGGAGGAAAGAUUUCCAGCAAGUUCUGCUGGUGGGGCACCAGAGCAGUUUCUCUGCCAUUGACUGGCCGGGGAGAUGACCUCACUUACAGGGUCCAGAUCUCAGCUCUGGGUAGGGGGUAUGUGUGGUUUCCUUGGGCAUUCUGAGCCCCAGGGGUCCUCAUUGCUCCUUAUACCUGCAGUUUCCUAUAUCUUUUAGAGUUCUCUUUACUUUUCACUAGCCAUUCCCUCGUUACUCCCAUCCCGUGUUAUAGUUAAUAAUUCUUUAUAUGGAAGGUCGCCUGUUAUGCAUCACUGUGUGGCUUCUCUCUCCCGAUGGGCCCGGAGCGAGGCCCGUGCGAGAGGGAGGGCCCUUCCCUGCGUCCGGCGCCUUUCAGCACAGCGUCCAGUGACUCCUGCCUGUGGCCCUACCAGGAGCUUCCCAACAGGUCUUGCCAACACUCCAGGUGGGUCCCCAGCGAGCCUCUCCUGCCCCAGCAGGGCCUUUCUAGCCGCUUUGCUGGCAUCCCAGCAAGCAGUCCCUGCGUGCCGGCCCUGGCCUAUGGCCCUCAGGGAUCUCCCUCCCUUUCCAGUAAGCCUCCGUCCGCCACACUUGGCAUUGACGAGAGAAUCUCAGCAUGGUGAGAGGAGGGAGACCCCUGCCCAAGCGUGUUCCUGCCUGGAUGUGCUCCCUCGGCCACUUCCUCCUUCGGCCACUCCUGUAUUCCUUAGCAUUUUCUCUACCCCUCUUAGGAGUGAAUCCCCCCUUACUAAUUAAUAAUUCUGCGUAUUAAACUGUCUCUGUUCAAGUUACUGGUGUGCUUUCUAUCUCCUGCCUGGACCCUGAGUGAUAUAUUUAUUAUGAAACAUUGUAGCAGGCUGGGUUUGUCUGCAGAUAACAGAAAGGACUUAACACAGAGAAUCAGGUGCUCACCAAGAGCUGGAGGAGUACCCUCUAG
This 1089-nucleotide long non-coding RNA is filed under the name Equus caballus (horse). RNAcentral's name for it is "lncRNA (ENSECAG00000055213.1)". Lineage: Eukaryota; Metazoa; Chordata; Mammalia; Perissodactyla; Equidae. The record is from RNAcentral.